UUGACCUCGGGAUCCAGGUAG
Molecule: ribosomal RNA, 21 nt
Filed under: Codinaeopsis sp. AL15m15
Lineage: Eukaryota; Fungi; Ascomycota; Sordariomycetes; Chaetosphaeriales; Chaetosphaeriaceae
Description: partial 28S ribosomal RNA
Source: RNAcentral